GUGAAUCAUCGAAUUUUUGAACGCAAAUUGCACUUUUUGGUAUUCCGGAAAGUAUGUCUGUUUGCGGGUCAGUUAAAUAAAAACAGGUGUUGUUGCUGCUUUUCGUGGUGGGGCGUCGGAAUUGUGUUGUUUUAUGUUCGGUUAUGUGAAUUAAAAUUUUGCAUGUUUUUCGAACGUAUUUAAAUUUAUUAUGUCUGUUUGAGUUAUAGAACACUUUAUUAGGUUCGGUCAUCCUC
This 236-nucleotide unclassified non-coding RNA is filed under the name Glomus sp. Its description in RNAcentral is "partial contains 5.8S ribosomal RNA and internal transcribed spacer 2". The stretch from base 1 to 71 matches the Rfam family "5.8S ribosomal RNA", at positions 84 to 154 of the family's 154-position model. The record is from RNAcentral. Lineage: Eukaryota; Fungi; Glomeromycota; Glomeromycetes; Glomerales; Glomeraceae.